This 511-nucleotide ribosomal RNA is filed under the name fungal sp. BLH23. Its description in RNAcentral is "eukaryotic LSU rRNA". The stretch from base 154 to 307 matches the Rfam family "5.8S ribosomal RNA". Lineage: Eukaryota; Fungi. The record is from RNAcentral.
GGGUUACGGAGUUUCACUCCCAAACCCCUGUGAACAUACCACUUGUUGCCUCGGCGGAUCAGCCCGCUCCCGGUAAAACGGGACGGCCCGCCAGAGGACCCCUAAAACUCUGUUUCUAUAUGUAACUUCUGAGUAAAACCAUAAAUAAAUCAAAACUUUCAACAACGGAUCUCUUGGUUCUGGCAUCGAUGAAGAACGCAGCAAAAUGCGAUAAGUAAUGUGAAUUGCAGAAUUCAGUGAAUCAUCGAAUCUUUGAACGCACAUUGCGCCCGCCAGUAUUCUGGCGGGCAUGCCUGUUCGAGCGUCAUUUCAACCCUCAAGCACAGCUUGGUGUUGGGACUCGCGUUAAUUCGCGUUCCUCAAAUUGAUUGGCGGUCACGUCGAGCUUCCAUAGCGUAGUAGUAAAACCCUCGUUACUGGUAAUCGUCGCGGCCACGCCGUUAAACCCCAACUUCUGAAUGUUGACCUCGGAUCAGGUAGGAAUACCCGCUGAACUUAAGCAUAUCAAUAA